Molecule: ribosomal RNA, 428 nt
Filed under: uncultured bacterium
Lineage: Bacteria
Description: bacterial SSU rRNA
Rfam family: Bacterial small subunit ribosomal RNA
Source: RNAcentral
GUGGGGAAUCUUCCGCAAUGGGCGAAAGCCUGACGGAGCAACGCCGCGUGAGUGAAGAAGGCCUUUGGGUCGUAAAACUCUGUCUUUGGGGAAGAAAUAAAUGACGGUACCCGAGGAGGAAGCCCCGGCUAACUACGUGCCAGCAGCCGCGGUAAAACGUAGGGGGCGAGCGUUGUCCGGAAUUACUGGGCGUAAAGGGCGUGUAGGCGGCUCGUGAAGUCAGGAGUGAAACCCCGGGGCUCAACCCCGGGCGUGCUUUUGAAACCAGCGGGCUUGAGUGCAGGAGAGGGAAGUGGAAUUCCCAGUGUAGCGGUGAAAUGCGUAGAUAUUGGGAGGAACACCAGUGGCGAAAGCGGCUUCCUGGCCUGUAACUGACGCUGAGGCGCGAAAGCGUGGGGAGCAAACAGGAUUAGAUACCCUAGUAGUCC